This 761-nucleotide long non-coding RNA is filed under the name Ananas comosus (pineapple). Its description in RNAcentral is "long non-coding RNA (ACOM_LNC011305)". The record is from RNAcentral. Lineage: Eukaryota; Viridiplantae; Streptophyta; Magnoliopsida; Poales; Bromeliaceae.
AAAUAAAUAUAUAUGCAUAUAUGUGUAGCUUUAAUCGGCUAUUAUCGGUAGUAAAUGGCUCGAUUUACUACCGAUUUAUUUUUAAUAAUAGAGCUUCUAAAUCGACGAUCGGUAUUGUUGAACUUGAUUUAGACUAUUUAAAUUAUUUAAAAUUAAAUUUCAUGAUUUUUCGACAUCACUAACUAAACAAUCAAAAGUUCACAAAUCUGUAAUUUUAAUGAUUGAUAUGGUGUGUUUGCUCAUUUAACGGUAUAGAAGAAUUCAAAUCAACUAAAUUUUUGUUAAAAAGUUCUUUAAACUAUUUAAAACAAUAUCUAAACUCUAGAUUUUAAAUACAGAAAUUAUAUCAUCACUUUUUGAAGGAUAUUCAUUUUCAGCCAUUUAUUUUUCUGUUCACUUAAUGCAAAAGAGAACAAUAUCGAAAAUACGUGAAAUUUAAUUUUCAAAUAGUUUAAAUGAUUUAGAUCAUGUUUAACGAUACCGAUCGUCAAUUUGGAAGCUCUAUCAUCGUUGAAAACAAAUCGAUAGUAAAUCGAGCGUUGUUUACUAUCAAGAGUAUUCUAGCAAAACUCCAUAUAGGUUAUCUAGGAUUUGGGGUAAUAUCGAAAAUGCAUUUAUUUAAUUUAGAAACAAACUUAGAUAGAAAUAUGAAUCAACUAAAAUUCAAACUUGAAAUUUUAAAUAUCAAUAAUCAAAUUUUUUAUCACUUGUACUGAGAACAGCCGGUAGUGAUGGAGAUUUUUAUUUUGUGCGAUUUCUAG